This 457-nucleotide ribosomal RNA is filed under the name uncultured bacterium. RNAcentral describes it as "bacterial SSU rRNA". It matches the Rfam family "Bacterial small subunit ribosomal RNA", at positions 28 to 507 of the family's 1533-position model. The record is from RNAcentral.
GACGAACGCUGGCGGCGUGGAUUAGGCAUGCAAGUCGAACGGUAACGGGCCUUCGGGCGCCGACGAGUGGCGAACGGGUGAGUAAUGCAUCGGAACGUACCUUUCAGUGGGGGAUAACGUAGCGAAAGUUACGCUAAUACCGCAUAUUCUGUGAGCAGGAAAGCAGGGGAUCGCAAGACCUUGCGCUGAUUGAGCGGCCGAUGUCAGAUUAGCUAGUUGGUGAGGUAAAGGCUCACCAAGGCGACGACGGGUAGCCGGCCUGAGAGGGUGACCGGCCACACUGGAACUGAGACACGGUCCAGACUCCUACGGGAGGCAGCAGUGGGGAAUUUUGGGCAAUGGGGGAGACCCUGACCCAGCGACGCCGCGUGAGGGAAGGCGGCCUUCGGGUUGUAAACCUCUUUUGUACGGGAAGAUAAUGACGGUACUGUACGAAUAAGUCCCGGCUAACUACGUG